UUACUGCUGAGGAGUCCCACAACAGGGCUAAACGACCGUCCAGUGU
Molecule: non-coding RNA, 46 nt
Organism: Schistosoma margrebowiei
Lineage: Eukaryota; Metazoa; Platyhelminthes; Trematoda; Strigeidida; Schistosomatidae
Source: Rfam